AUGAACGCUGGCGGCGUGCCUAAUACAUGCAAGUCGAGCGAACAGGCGAGGAGCUUGCUCCUCUGACGUUAGCGGCGGACGGGUGAGUAACACGUGGAUAACCUACCUAUAAGACUGGGAUAACUUCGGGAAACCGGAGCUAAUCCCGGUUAAUAUAUUUAACCGCUUGGUUCAAUAGUGAAAGACGGUUUUGCUGUCACUUAUAGAUGGAUCCGCGCCGCAUUAGCUAGUUGGUAAGGUAACGGCUUACCAAGGCAACGAUGCGUAGCCGACCUGAGAGGGUGAUCGGCCACACUGGAACUGAGACACGGUCCAGACUCCUACGGGAGGCAGCAGUAGGGAAUCUUCCGCAAUGGGCGAAAGCCUGACGGAGCAACGCCGCGUGAGUGAUGAAGGUCUUCGGAUCGUAAAACUCGGUUAUUAGGGAAGAACAAAUGUGUAAGUAACUAUGCACGUCUUGACGGUACCUAAUCAGAAAGCCACGGCUAACUACGUG
RNAcentral lists this ribosomal RNA (496 nucleotides) under uncultured bacterium. RNAcentral describes it as "partial 16S ribosomal RNA". It matches the Rfam family "Bacterial small subunit ribosomal RNA", at positions 29 to 507 of the family's 1533-position model. The record is from RNAcentral.